UCGCACAACUCUGGAGAGACCGGUUCGAUCCGGCGCCGAAGGGGCACGGGGCGCGCGUAGCGCCUCCAAACUCUCAGGCAAAAGGACAGAGGGGCGAAG
RNAcentral lists this non-coding RNA (99 nucleotides) under Tolypothrix campylonemoides. RNAcentral's name for it is "Glycine sequence". It matches the Rfam family "Glycine riboswitch aptamer". From Rfam's summary of the family: This family represents the bacterial glycine riboswitch. Glycine riboswitches usually consist of two metabolite-binding aptamers domains with similar structures in tandem. The record is from RNAcentral. Lineage: Bacteria; Bacillati; Cyanobacteriota; Cyanophyceae; Nostocales; Tolypothrichaceae.